GUGAUAUUGGUUCAGAGGGGUUGGGGGGGCUGAAAGAUUGAGUUAAUUAUGUGGCUUGUGAUUCCAUUUAUCAAGCCUGUGUAAUGAAACCCCAAGAAAAACUCAGGACACUGAGGCUCGAGUGAAGUCCUGUCUAGUGAACACAUACAUGUGCUGGGUGGGCGAUGUACUCUGGAAAGGAAACAGGAGCUCCUAGUGUGGGACCCUCCUGGACUUUUCCCUAUGUGCCUUUUCAGUUGGCUGGUCCUGAUUUUUGUGUGUGUGCACGCUAAGUCACUUCAGUCCUGUCUAACUCUUUGCAACCCCAUGGACUGUAGCCGGUCAGGCUCCUCUGUCCAUGGGAUUCUCCAGGCAAGAAUACUGGAGUGGGUUGCCAUGCCCUCCUCCAAGGAAUAUUCCAAACCCAGGAAUUGAACCUGCAUCUCUUAUAUGUCUCCUACAUUGGCAGGCAGGUUCUUUACCACUAAUGCCGCCUGAUUUGUAUCCUUUAUAAUAAAAUUGAAAUCGUUAAGUCUAGUACUUGCCUGAGUUCUGAGUCACUCUAGUGAAUUAUCAACCUGAGCGGGUAAUGGGAUCCCCCAAAUACCUAGCUGGUUAUUCAGAAAUCUGGGUGGCUUGAGGACCGCCUCCACCCCCAUCCCAAUGCAAAUCUGUGGCUUGCUUGUGGUACAAAGGCAGUCUCAUCGGAGACUGUGCCCCUAGCCUGCAGAGUCUGAGCUAACCCAGAUCCCAUAUUCUGGGAUGGGAGUUACAUUGCAGGAAUGCAGAUGUGAAAAGCAAAGAGGAAGCCACACUCCCCUGAGGCUGCCAUGGUAGCAAGCGCUGGAGAUGAGGAAAUCUCCAAGGGCAAAAUGCACCUUUACAGACCUCACCUGAUCUUGCAAGCAGGACAUGUUCCUCUACUGCCAACGUGAGAGGAGCUGGGCUUCAGCUCAAAUUCGCAUAAUGAAGUAUGCAAAUUUCCUCAGGCCCUGUAGGUACAAAUGAGGUCACAUUCAUGACCUUGUUUCUCAAGUUCUUGCCAGCAUCCUCCCCUGCAAAGUGCCUGUGCCCCAUGAGAAUUUCUGGGAGCGCCUGGGGGGUGUACUCAUGAACACGCAAAGGUCUACUGGAUGCUGUGCUUCCACCGGACCACACUGUGGUAGAUGUCUUCCACUUGCCCCUCCAGACCACCUCCCCACCCUCCGGCCAUGCCCAGUGUCCUGCAAUGCUGACCUUUGUGAAUGGGCUCAUCCAAGGCUACUUUGCCCUGGCUUCUGGUCAGGUUCAGCCAAUGGAAGGCACUGGGAGCAGGAAGUUAUUGCUUCCUCGAACUUGCAGUGAGUUGUCUAAUUCUCCUAACAAAGGCUGCAGCUCUGACCAGGUGGCCGUAUUCUAACCACUUCAGCACUUGUGCCUUCAGGUCUAGGAGAGAUGAAGCCUGCUCACCCUGGGAUUCCUCACCACUUUGAAAAGUUCAAGAAAGUUGUUCCUGGGAGGCAAUGAAAUGGAGUCUUUCAAGGGGAGAAAUAUGGAGAGAACAGAGACAGUAACUGAAAGAUGAUGGUCUUGAGGUUUAAAAGAAAC
Long non-coding RNA from Bos taurus (domestic cattle), 1566 nucleotides. Lineage: Eukaryota; Metazoa; Chordata; Mammalia; Artiodactyla; Bovidae. The record is from Ensembl.